GAGGAAGCCAAGACAAAGGCCAGCGACUGGACGUGGAGUGUUGUGUGUGAGAGACACCAGGAAGACCAUAGAGGCAGCCCUUCCAAAUAUUUGACUACAAGGUGGAGUGAAUGAGGGUAAGGAAAGAAGCAAGCAUUUAUUAAGCACUUACUACAUGCCAGACUCUAUGAUUUAUCAGGCUGAGACAAAAAGAAGAUAGACUUGUGGCUAAUCAGAGGAUUCUCUAUCAGAUAACUAUUGCUCCAGGUGAUUUGAUAGUCAGAACUGGCUGCUGUCAUAAAUGAAGAUAUAUCAUAAAUGACACAGAGAGUGCAAGACAAGUGAUUUGAGAAGAUUGCUGUGGAAUUCCUGCUUCUUUUCAUCAUGGUUCGGAAAAUAAUUUCCUUCACCUCUGAGGUUCUUCUAAGCACAAAGUAAUUGAUAUAAAUAUGAAUCGUGAGACCAGAGGACUGAGGGAUACGUGGGGAUGGUUACUGUUUGCUUUGGCCUCUUUGCCAAAUGAAUCCUUUAACAAAUCCACUUCCUACCUUCCUCCAACAAAACCCUAUUCCAAUUCCUUUGCUUUUUUUUUCAAUCCCUUUUCUCAAUGUGGAGGUGACCCUGUGGUUGCAAAGGUCACAGCCACACAUGGUUUGCUCUUACUCAUGCCCCAAGGAUUAUGGAGGAGAAUCUUAGUUGUCUUAUAGAAGACUUUGGUCUCAGGUUCUGGGAACUUUAUUAGGAAACUCCCCUGGAAACUUGUUCCUUCCUUAUACUCCCGUAUGCCAAAUGGGGGAAGUACUAAGUCCUGCCACAGGACACAAGACACAAGAAAAGGGAGGACUCAUGGACUCACAUCUUCCUUGGCUGACUUGAUACCGGUCAGCACAAUUCAAAAGCAAUGAAAGAUAUACUUGUUUCAGGGGUAUCUCCUGGGGACAUAGAUAACUACACCUUUACCCAGAUCUGACUCCUGGUGAAUGACCUAAACUAGUUAACAGUCUCAAUCUUUUAGCUCCCCUCAAUUUCUAUUGAAAAUUGGUAAGAGCUGAUUCCUUAAAUGCCCCAGGCAAUGCUGCUUCUAUACCCUAAUAGGACCUGCUGAAGGAAUACCAGAUUUGAUUACUAGCUUAAUGCACCUUUUUUCCUGUGUUUGUCAUUCCUAGGACGGUAGGUAGAGUUGGAAGGGACCUCAGGGGCUAUACUGGCGAAAGGGACAUGGCUAGGGUAGUUUCUAAUCAAUUUUCUUGGUAGUUAGGUGCUGACCUCAGAAUCAGAAAGAACUGAGUUCAAAUCCCUCCCUUAGACAUUUACUAGGUGAAUAACCCUGAACAAGUUACUUACCUUCUGUCAGAUUCAGUUUCCUUAUUCUUGUGUUUAAAAUCUACAAAACUCCAACUUACCUUUCCAGACUUAUUUCACACUUACUUCUCCUCUUCAAGCAGCCUAUAUUUCAGUUAGACUUCACUUUGAGUUGUUCCGUGAUCUAGCCAUCCCAUCCCUUUUCUCCUGCUUUUGCUCAAACCCUGCUUCUCCUAUUCCUGUAACAAACUGCUUCCUUAUCCCUGACUUUUAGCAUCUCAACCCUGGUGACACCUAUCUUGGGAUCCCUCCACAAUUGACUUCAUUAUUAAUAUACUGUCCAUCCUCAAAUUGCCUUGUAUAAUCUAUUGAUCCAUGUGCAUGUCAUAUCUCCCUCCACCCAAAAGUGUAUGUUCCAUGAAGGGAGGGGUUAUUUUUUUAUUGUUUUUGUAUCCUCAGUGCUUAACAUAGUUCUUU
Vombatus ursinus (common wombat) is the source of this 1758-nucleotide long non-coding RNA. RefSeq lists it as uncharacterized. NCBI's taxonomy places the organism in Eukaryota, Metazoa, Chordata, Mammalia, Diprotodontia, Vombatidae. The record is from RefSeq and is a predicted model, not a curated record. The transcript is spliced from 4 exons.